Octopus bimaculoides (California two-spot octopus) is the source of this 1295-nucleotide long non-coding RNA. Lineage: Eukaryota; Metazoa; Mollusca; Cephalopoda; Octopoda; Octopodidae. The record is from RefSeq and is a predicted model, not a curated record.
UACAUAUGUGCAAGUGAAGGCAGUAAAAUAUUUUCAAUCUGACAGAAUUUUUACAUGGCUGAAGUGUGGUGGAUGGUGGAUGGAAGAAAUCAAUCAAAUGAAAAAUAUAUUCCCCUCCUCCACCAAAACAGUAAAGCAAAAAAAAAAAAAUAAGAAUAAAAAAAAAUAAUAAAAAACCACCCCCCAAAAAACAAAGCAAUCCAAUCAUCAAGAUCACUCAGUAAUGGUGUUUCCAUGGAUAUUUAUUUACCGAUGAGCAAAAACUUAAGAGUUGAAUAAAAAGGGGAUAGCCAUGAACAAAGCUUGACUGAUUGUGGUGAAAAAUAUGCGAUAUUCAAUAUGUUCUGUGAGUAGAAUUCUCUGAAAAAGCUGGUGGAUUGAGAAAAUUAUAAUGGCAGACCCUCAGCUUACUCAAGAAAUGAAGAGGCAUGCUGUUUUUGUGUUUAUAAAAGCUGAGAAUAGCAAUUUAGAAAUAUCUUGAUAUUUAAAAGUUGCCAAAUCUUUCAUCUACAAAGUUUAUAUGGAGUUAGAGACUCAAGAUGGAGACAUAUUACCAGUAUUAAAGCAUAAAAAGGAUUCUAAACACUCUAAAAUCAUCACAACACCUGAAUUUAUUCAGCAAGUUCAACAGACCAUUGAUUACAAUCCCAGAAAGUCUAUGAGGUCAAUUUCAAAAGAUUUCCAUGUGUCAGAAGGAACAGUCAAAAAUGUUGGCCACGAAGACAUCAGAUAUAAGUCUUAUAUGAUAAGGAAAGGUCAAUUUGUAAGAAAAAGCAAAAAAAAAAAAAUGCUCUUAAACAAACUGAAAAAUUCAGCAAAAGAUCUGAUUUGGUUUUUCUCAAACAGAAAAACUUCGACCAAGAUCAAAGAGGUAACAAGAAAUGACAGAUGGUUAUGUGCAGACCCUUCUGAAGUUCCAAGUGUUGUGCAUACAAAAUUUCCUGCAACUGUCAUGGUUUCAGGAGUUGUCAGCAAUGAAGGAUGUGAUGCCUCCUUACUUCUUUCCACAAGGCCUUAGAGUUAACUCUGUGGCCUACAUUCAGGUUCUGGAAAUAAUUGUUAAGCCCUGGAUAGACAGUGUAUGGACAAUUGUUGUCGAGAGAGAGAGGUCAAUGAACAUGCCCAUAACACCAAAGAUUCUUUGAAAGCUGCCAUAGUCAGAAUAAUGUCCAAAAUGAACCAGGACCACUCGAUUCAAGCAUGUAGAUGAUUUAGAUCUCAUAUAGAAGCAGUUGUUGAAGCUGAAAGUGGCUUUAUUGAAUAAGAUGAUAGAAAAGAAGGUUUAUUUUUAUCCU